UACAGAGGGGGCAAGCGUUGUUCGGAAUUACUGGGCGUAAAGGGCGCGUAGGCGGCCUGCUAAGUCGAACGUGAAAUCCCUGGGCUCAACCCAGGAACUGCGUCCGAUACUGGUUGGCUUGGAUCCGGGAGAGGGAUGCGGAAUUCCAGGUGUAGCGGUGAAAUGCGUAGAUAUCUGGAGGAACACCGGUGGCGAAGGCGGCAUCCUGGACCGGUAUUGACGCUGAGGCGCGAAAGCCAGGGGAGCAAACGGG
RNAcentral lists this ribosomal RNA (253 nucleotides) under uncultured bacterium. Its description in RNAcentral is "partial 16S ribosomal RNA". It matches the Rfam family "Bacterial small subunit ribosomal RNA", at positions 524 to 776 of the family's 1533-position model. The record is from RNAcentral.